RNAcentral lists this ribosomal RNA (492 nucleotides) under uncultured bacterium. RNAcentral describes it as "partial 16S ribosomal RNA". It matches the Rfam family "Bacterial small subunit ribosomal RNA", at positions 29 to 507 of the family's 1533-position model. The record is from RNAcentral.
AGUGAACGCUGGCGGUAGGCCUAACACAUGCAAGUCGAACGGCAGCACAGUAAGAGCUUGCUCUUACGGGUGGCGAGUGGCGGACGGGUGAGGAAUACAUCGGAAUCUACUUUUUCGUGGGGGAUAACGUAGGGAAACUUACGCUAAUACCGCAUACGACCUACGGGUGAAAGCAGGGGAUCUUCGGACCUUGCGCGAUUGUAUGAGCCGAUGUCGGAUUAGCUAGUUGGCGGGGUAAAGGCACACCAAGGCGACGAUGCGUAGCUGGUCUGAGAGGAUGAUCAGCCACACUGGAACUGAGACACGGUCCAGACUCCUACGGGAGGCAGCAGUGGGGAAUAUUGGACAAUGGGCGCAAGCCUGAUCCAGCCAUACCGCGUGGGUGAAGAAGGCCUUCGGGUUGUAAAGCCCUUUUGUUGGGAAAGAAAAGCAGCAGAUUAAUACCCCGCUGUUCUGACGGUACCCAAAGAAUAAGCACCGGCUAACUUCGUG